RNAcentral lists this non-coding RNA (27 nucleotides) under Homo sapiens (human). Lineage: Eukaryota; Metazoa; Chordata; Mammalia; Primates; Hominidae. The record is from RNAcentral.
UAAAUAUGUUUUUAAAACAGUGUGCUU